UGUAGUAGGGGCAGAGGGAAUUCCUAGUGUAGCGGUGAAAUGCGUAGAGAUCAGGAAGAACACCGGUGGGGAAGGCGCUCUGCUGGGCUAUAACUGACACUGAGGGACGAAAGCUAGGGGAGCGAAUGGGAUUAGAUACCCCAGUAGUCCUAGCGGUAAACGAUGGAAACUAGGUGUGGCCUGUAUCGACCCGGGCCGUGCAGAAGCAAACGCGUUAAGUUUUCCCGCCUGGGGAGUACGCACGCAAGUGUGAAACUCAAAGGAAUUGACGGGGGCCCGCACAAGCGGUGGAGUAUGUGGUUUAAUUUGAUGCAACGCGAAGAACCUUACCAGGACUUGACAUCUCUGGAAUCUCCUUGAAAGGGGAGAGUGCCGUAAGGAACCAGAAGACAGGUGCUGCAUGGCUGUCGUCAGCUCGUGUCGUGAGAUGUUGGGUUAAGUCCCGCAACGAGCGCAACCCUCGUCGUUAGUUGCCAUCAUUAAGUUGGGAACUCUAGCGAGACUGCCGGUGACAAACCGGAGGAAGGUGAGGAUGACGUCAAGUCAGCAUGGCCCUUACGUCCUGGGCGACACACGUAAUACAAUGCGAGGGACAGAGAGCAGCCAACCCGCGAGGGAGAGCGAAUCUCAUAAACCCUGGCACAGUUCAGAUUGCAGGCUGCA
Molecule: ribosomal RNA, 663 nt
Filed under: uncultured cyanobacterium
Lineage: Bacteria; Bacillati; Cyanobacteriota
Description: bacterial SSU rRNA
Rfam family: Bacterial small subunit ribosomal RNA
Source: RNAcentral